GACGAACCGUGCGAACGUUUUUCGGAAUCACUGGGCUUAAAGGGCGCGUAGGCGGGCGGCCUUGUCAGGGGUGAAAUCUUUCGGCCUAACCGGAAAAGUGCCUCUGAAACGGGCCGCCUCGAGGGAGGUAGGGGCAUGCGGAACUUCCGGUGGAGCGGUGAAAUGCGUAGAUAUCGGAAGGAACGCCGGUGGCGAAAGCGGCGUGCUGGACCUCUUCUGACGCUGAGGCGCGAAAGCCAGGGGAGCAAACGGG
This 253-nucleotide ribosomal RNA is filed under the name uncultured bacterium. RNAcentral's name for it is "partial 16S ribosomal RNA". It matches the Rfam family "Bacterial small subunit ribosomal RNA", at positions 524 to 776 of the family's 1533-position model. The record is from RNAcentral.